CACGCCUUAAACGAUGGGUACUAGGUGCUGGGCCGUAAGGUUCAGUGCCAAAGCUAACGCAUUAAGUACCCCACCUGGGGAGUACGAUCGCAAGGUUGAAACUCAAAGGAAUUGACGGGGGCCCGCACAAGCAGUGGAGCAUGUGGUUCAAUUCGAUGCAACGCGAAGAACCUUACCUGGGUUUGAAAGGCCAGUGACAGUCCCUGAAAGGGGAUCUUGUAGCAAUACACACUGGUACAGGUGCUGCAUGGCUGUCGUCAGCUCGUGCCGUGAGGUGUUAGGUUAAGUCCUGCAACGAGCGCAACCCCUACAUCUAGUUGCCAUCAGGUCAAGCUGGGCACUCUAGAUGGACUGCCUACGCAAGUAGU
RNAcentral lists this ribosomal RNA (368 nucleotides) under uncultured bacterium. RNAcentral describes it as "bacterial SSU rRNA". It matches the Rfam family "Bacterial small subunit ribosomal RNA", at positions 796 to 1166 of the family's 1533-position model. The record is from RNAcentral.